This 556-nucleotide ribosomal RNA is filed under the name Acremonium alternatum. Its description in RNAcentral is "eukaryotic LSU rRNA". The stretch from base 175 to 328 matches the Rfam family "5.8S ribosomal RNA". The record is from RNAcentral. Lineage: Eukaryota; Fungi; Ascomycota; Sordariomycetes; Hypocreales; Bionectriaceae.
CUGCGGAGGGAUCAUUACCGAGUGUAAAAACUCCCAAACCAUUGUGAACCUACCACUGUUGCUUCGGCGGCCUCGCCCCGGGCGCGUUCGCGCGGCCCGGACCCAGGCGUCCGCCGGAGGCUCCAAACUCUUGUCUUUUAGUGUAUUUCUGAGUGGCAUAAGCAAAUAAAUCAAAACUUUCAGCAACGGAUCUCUUGGUUCUGGCAUCGAUGAAGAACGCAGCAAAAUGCGAUAAGUAAUGUGAAUUGCAGAAUUCAGUGAAUCAUCGAAUCUUUGAACGCACAUUGCGCCCGCCAGUAUUCUGGCGGGCAUGCCUGUCUGAGCGUCAUUUCAACCCUCAGGACCCGUUCGCGGGACCUGGCGUUGGGGAUCAGCCUGCCCCUGGCGGCGGCUGGCCCUGAAAUCCAGUGGCGGUUCCCUCGCGAACUCCUCCGUGCAGUAAUUAAACCUCUCGCGGCAGGAUAGCGGUUGAACCACGCCGUUAAACCCCCCACUUCUCAAGGUUGACCUCAGAUCAGGUAGGAAUACCCGCUGAACUUAAGCAUAUCAAUAAGCC